RNAcentral lists this ribosomal RNA (252 nucleotides) under uncultured bacterium. RNAcentral's name for it is "partial 16S ribosomal RNA". It matches the Rfam family "Bacterial small subunit ribosomal RNA", at positions 524 to 776 of the family's 1533-position model. The record is from RNAcentral.
UACGUAGGGCGCAAGCGUUGUCCGGAUUUAUUGGGCGUAAAGAGCUCGUAGGCGGUUUGUCGCGUCUUCCGUGAAAACUGGGGCGUAACUUCCAGCUUGCGGUGGAUACGGGCUGACUGGAGUGCGGCAGGGGAGACUGGAAUUCCUGGUGUAGCGGUGAAAUGCGUAGAUAUUCGGAGGAACACCAGUGGCGAAGGCGGCUCACUGGUCCGGUACUGACGCUGAGGUGCGAAAGCGUGGGGAGCAAACAGG